GUGGGGAAUAUUGGACAAUGGGCGAAAGCCUGAUCCAGCCAUGCCGCGUGUGUGAAGAAGGUCUUCGGAUUGUAAAGCACUUUAAGUUGGGAGGAAGGGCAGUAAGUUAAUACCUUGCUGUUUUGACGGUACUGUACGAAUAAGUCCCGGCUAACUACGUGCCAGCAGCCGCGGUAAUACGUAGGGGACGAGCGUUGUCCGGAAUUACUGGGCGUAAAGGGCGCGCAGGCUGUGCUGCAAGUCAGCUGUGAAAUGUCUGGGCUUAACCCGGGCAUGCGGUUGAGACUGCAGUGCUGGAGUGCUGUAGAGGCAAGUGGAAUUCCCAGUGUAGCGGUGAAAUGCGUAGAUAUUGGGAAGAACACCGGUGGCGAAGGCGACUUGCUGGGCAGCAACUGACGCUGAGGCGCGAAAGCCAGGGGAGCAAACGGGAUUAGAUACCCCUGUAGUCC
Molecule: ribosomal RNA, 449 nt
Filed under: uncultured bacterium
Lineage: Bacteria
Description: partial 16S ribosomal RNA
Rfam family: Bacterial small subunit ribosomal RNA
Source: RNAcentral